UCGUCACUGUCUCCCAUUGGUCUAAAGGAGCAAACAGAUAUUAUCAGGGAUUCUUUCUGCAUCAUUCAGCAACUUUAAAUCAUAAGUUUAAAUAUUUGGGGGGGAAAAACUUUACUAGAUCUUUCUGUAAAUCACCAAGUAUGAAGGUGUUUAAAUAAAAAAAUAAAAAAAUAAAAUAAAAAAAAAUUGUUCAAACUGUCAAAAUAAACCUUAAAUUCAGAGAAUUAUCGGAGUUCGGUUAAUUAAUGCACAUUAACAGAUGGAGCACAGCUCUGUGAGGCUGAAGGUGGCAACUGAAAAACCUGUAGAUUCAAUAAAUUUACACCAACGCAGGACCAAGAGAAGCACAAAUCUCCCACACUAGAUUGACUCCCAUCACCUCCUGCCUGCAGAUUUAACGCUCUAAGCGCCUAAACCCACACUGACUCCUUAAGGGGGUGUGUGUGUGUGUGUGUGUGUGUGUGUGUGUGUGUGUGAGAGAGUGUGAAAGGGGUGUAGCCUAAUACCUCCUGCUGCAGGUAAUAAACACACUGACUGUGCUAAACCAUCCCCACUGAGAGGAACUGUGUUUUAUUUUUCACAUCAGGAAUGAAGAUUUUUGAUCUACUUUGUCAUCUGCUGUGACGGUUCCUGACUGUGUUCAUCAGCGAGGAAGAGUCUGUCCGGAACCCGGAAAUUAGGGGAAAAAUAACUAUAGGUGAUGGGAAGUGGGCGGGACCCAUGGUAAACUUUCAGUUCUUCACUCUGAUUGGUGGUCACUUCAGUUUAUCACAGUUACUCCUUCAAAGUCGAAUGAGGAUGUUGAAUGUCACUUUGUUUCCAAUAUUUGCAUUAACUUUCUUUCACACCAGAUAUGAACGCUGUAUUGGAGCAGAAAAUAUUUGGAUUCUAUUUUGCUUUAUUGUAUUUAAUGAUCCAGUUUAGUCUCUCGACUUUGGCCACCACUCAUUGACUCUGUAUUAGACCCUCAUCCAUAUUCUGAAUCUCCAGCAAAGCACUGGACAGACUCCAUCAUAUCCAGAACUCCGCUGUCAUGAGAUGCACUAAACUCUGGGACCAUAUCACCCCCACCCUCAUAAAUCUCCACUGCCUCUUGGUCAAAUACCUCAGUACUUGUCUCCUCUCUUUCACGCAGACAAAUAGUCUUGCUCGCACUAACCCCUUCACUGGGCUU
Long non-coding RNA from Oreochromis niloticus (Nile tilapia), 1174 nucleotides. RefSeq lists it as uncharacterized. The record is from RefSeq and is a predicted model, not a curated record. NCBI's taxonomy places the organism in Eukaryota, Metazoa, Chordata, Actinopteri, Cichliformes, Cichlidae. The transcript is spliced from 2 exons.